RNAcentral lists this ribosomal RNA (439 nucleotides) under uncultured bacterium. Its description in RNAcentral is "partial 16S ribosomal RNA". It matches the Rfam family "Bacterial small subunit ribosomal RNA", at positions 339 to 795 of the family's 1533-position model. The record is from RNAcentral.
CUACGGGGUGCUCCAGUGAGGAAUAUUGCACAAUGGGGGGAACCCUGAUGCAGCAACGCCGCGUGGAGGAUGACGCAUUUCGGUGUGUAAACUCCUUUUAUAUGUCAAGAAAAUGACGGUAGCAUAUGAAUAAGCACCGGCUAACUCCGUGCCAGCAGCCGCGGUAAUACGGAGGGUGCAAGCGUUACUCGGAAUCACUGGGCGUAAAGGAAGCGUAGGCGGGUUGGAAAGUCAGGUGUGAAAUCCUACAGCUUAACUGUAGAACUGCACUUGAAACUUCUCAUCUAGAGUAUGGGAGGGGGAGAUGGAAUUAGUGGUGUAGGGGUAAAAUCCGUAGAUAUCACUAGGAAUACCUAAAGCGAAGGCGAUCUCCUGGAACAUUACUGACGCUAAGGCGUGAAAGCGUGGGGAGCAAACAGGAUUAGAUACCCUCGUAGUC